Molecule: long non-coding RNA, 1341 nt
Filed under: Setaria italica (foxtail millet)
Lineage: Eukaryota; Viridiplantae; Streptophyta; Magnoliopsida; Poales; Poaceae
Description: long non-coding RNA (SITA_LNC004680)
Source: RNAcentral
CAACUCUGCCUGGAGCAGGGUGUCCCGUUGCCGGGGCACAGUUGAGGACUGCUAUAGUUCCACCCGCUAUCAUGGAAGGGGUCGCAACUAUGGGCAGUCCAGCUACCACAGCCGACGUCUCUCUCCUCCACCAAGCUGGGGUGUGGUGGGGUACCGCAGAAGGAGACCAAGAAGAAGUGGAUUGCCAAGAGCAAGAAGAGGGUCUCAUUCGCCAGCCCAUUAGCUCAAGUGUUUGGUGAGUUGAAAGAAGACAAUUGUUUCCUAUCUACCACCAUAGAACUUCAUCAUGAGUUGUGCCCCACUCAUUUUGAUCCAAUGCUUGAAGAAAUGCUCCCCUCUCAUGUUGCUGCAGGACCAUCCAAAGAGGACUACAUCAGGGAGAUGCUGAAUGCACCGGGCUGGGAGCCUGUCGCUUCACCAAUGGCUGAUGAUGACCUUGGAGAAGCGAGGUGCGAGAACUGAUCGGUGAGGAGAGUAGGAAAGGCUUCACCAAACAGAACAUCUCCAUCCCAGAUAUGCCACAAGUCAAUGCCCAACCAGUUGCAAAAUCAACGCUUGAGUUACACAAUGUGAUAGCAAACAUGCAACACACUAAAACUUUGCACACACAAACAACCACUCCACCAUUGGUUGCUCAGAGACAUUGCAGUCCAGUUAGUAAUAUGCUUUUCAAUAAUUCUGCUCACAACAUUGAGCAGAACACCAUUCUCCCAUCUGCACCAUCACAUGUAGACACAAACACCCAUCUGAGUGAGAUGCACCCUGAAAGUGCAGUAGAAGAGCUGAUGCACCCUGAAGGUGCAGAAGAUGAGAUGGCACUGUUUGUAGAGUUUGUCUCUAGCAAUCCUACUACCCCCAAGCUGCACACACCUCCAAGGGUAAAUGACACUCACAGCAAUGAAAUGCCCAACAGUUCGACACAACCAUCUCAACAAAGAAAGAGCAAUAGAUUAGCCGAAAAAGCAAAAGCAAACCCGAUAACACGAAGUAUUCAACUUGCACAGUGUGUCUUGAUGAACAAAUUAGGUGAAUUAUCUCCUAGAGUACUAAGAAAUGCUAAUGGUGAAUUUGAACAGAAGGCGCGCCACCUCCCGCGUCCCCUCACCAAGAUGAAGAUGGAGGCCCUGAAGAUGGCCAUCAAGCAGGGGAACAAGCUCAUGGGCAAGAAGAAGGCCAAGGUGGCGCUUGCCCUUGCAGGUGUGCAGGCGUAGAGGAAGACGCCAGAACUAUCACCGUCGACUAGUUGUUUUUCUUUUUCAGAAUGAUUAGCAAACCACUUGAGAACUUGAAUCGGCUUGUAAUAUUUAAUGGGUCGGCAAUUUGGCCCUACGGCUUCAGCGG